UUCCUUUGAGUUUCAGCCUUGCGACCAUACUCCCCAGGCGGAACACUUAACGCUUUCGCUACGGCCGAGAGGAUGUGGAAGUCCCCUCAACCCAGUGUUCAUCGUUUACGGCUAGGACUACCGGGGUAUCUAAUCCCGUUCGCUACCCUAGCUUUCGUGCCUCAGCGUCAGAAAAGAUCCAGUGAUGCGCUUUCGCCACCGGUGUUCCCUAUGAUAUCAACGCAUUUCACCGCUCCACCAUAAGUUCCCAUCACCCCUAUCUUCCUCGAGCUUGGGGGUUUGAAACGCAAUUCCACGGUUGAGCCGUGGGCUUUCACAUCUCACCUACCAAGCCGCCUACGCACGCUUUAAGCCCAGUGAUACCGAAUAACGUUUGGACGGUUCGUCUUACCGCGGCUGCUGGCACGAACUUAGCCCGUCCUUCCUCUGAAGAUCGGUCAACCAUGAGAAAUAACUCUCAUGGACUUCCUAACUACUGACAGCGGUUUACAACCCGAGGGCCUUCAUCCCGCACGCGGCGUCGCUCGGUCAGACUUUCGUCCAUUGCCGA
This 550-nucleotide ribosomal RNA is filed under the name uncultured Planctomycetota bacterium. RNAcentral describes it as "uncultured planctomycete partial 16S ribosomal RNA". The record is from RNAcentral. Lineage: Bacteria; Pseudomonadati; Planctomycetota.